Molecule: long non-coding RNA, 5277 nt
Filed under: Neodiprion pinetum (white pine sawfly)
Lineage: Eukaryota; Metazoa; Arthropoda; Insecta; Hymenoptera; Diprionidae
Description: uncharacterized LOC124210727, transcript variant X2
Source: RNAcentral
UUCAGGAUCUACGACAUUCCAGCCACGCGGUUCGACGACCUUCAAGCUCUUCUCAUUGUCAGAAUAAGGUCCGAAGUACGAACUUCUACAUUACGUUGAACUCGAAGUUUUCGACCGGAUGUCUAGAUUGAUCUUGAGAGGAACAGCCAACGAAGAUCGUCGGUGAGGCGGGGUAAUACCCGGGGGAUUACUGGACUUAGGAACUGAUUUAUUCUACCGUCUUAAGACAGCAGCAGGUGCAGCGUUCGUUGGGCUGGGUUCAAACGUACGGAAAUAGGCACGCCACUUUUGGCAGAUUUAUCGGAGCGAAAAUCGCCGUGCUCUAUCUCUCUGCACGGGAAGCUCCGUUUUUCUAAUUUCAGCUCACAAACUUCGUCAGAAAAGUUGAACAGCAAGCCAAAACCCUUAAGGCACUUUCCCUCGGAACCACCCGUUUGCAAUUACUCCAACGGUUAGCUAAACGAGCUAAAACGAUUUCUGGGAAAGAUCUGCAAUCUCCGGUUGACUCACGGAAUUCCAGGUAGCCAAACUCGUUUCGACACUUAAGGAAGAAUUUCAUCCGUAUGAUCCACUUCCGCCUGAAAUGGAUAGCUGGAACUCUGAUAAUGUAAGAGAAGCGAUGUUGCAUCGCUUUAAGUCACGAUAUCCAAUUCGAUAAUCUAUAGUGACCGUCAAUGAUCUUUCAACACUUUCGAUCGAUCUAUCUUAGCUUCAUAAUUGGAAGCAAUUUUGGAUGUGUGCUUUCAAGUGUAUCUAACUUGCCACCUAGUAAUUCGUCAUUUUCAUUGAUAGGAGACGUUAACGUUGUAACCCAAUAUUGCCUUCAAGUUGCAUUAUCAGCCUAACGAUGAAUGCGCGUAUUUUCAGUUCGAAAAUAACCAAUCAUGCAAAACUUUGCACAGGGUUCGGUUACGCUGUCGCGAAAUCGUGGAUAGGACAAAAGGGUUUGAACAACAUCCGGAGGGUUUGAAAAAGUAGUUUUUAUUACAGUCAAUCGUUAGUAUUUCUUGGGCUGCUGGUUUCGCGUCUGUUGAUUGAACAGUGUCGUUUCCGGCCUGAGUCUUGGGGGUGGUUUGGUGGGUUCUUCUUCUUCCGGAACUUCCGUCGUUGACGGCUGCUUGGCGAUCCACUCAAGCGCCCUUUGUAUGGCGAUGGGAAUCGGGGGUGGCGUGGGAAGAUGAGCCCCGGCGACUUGGGUGCCAAAUUCGUCGGCUGUCCAGCUCAAUGAAAUCGGAGUACCGUCGGGUGCGUUGUAUUGCACAGAGCCCUGGAUCAGUUGGGUCUCGUCCGAUGUUCCGGCGUAUUUCCGGCUCCCGACUUCCUUCUGCAGGAUUCCACCCUCCGUCUCGUAGUUGAACGAAUAGUGCCCUUUAUUGUCACCAAGGUUGUGCUCUGCGGAAAUCACCUUCUCCGGCUCCCGGAAGUACUCCUGACUCGAUGAUAACCCGGCGCUGAAGGCCAACAACUGAAAGAAAAAUCCCUUACAGAUCUCGCAAAUUCACAUAGACGAAUGCUACUACAGCGGUUAUCAAUCACUGCAGAUCUGCAAGGCCACCCGAAGCGUUGCAGUUGAAGGAGACCGGAAUGAAAAUUGCGCCAGAGGGGUUGAAGAGAGAAGAGGUGGAAAAAGAGACGCGGCGAUCAGGUGCGAAGGGGAAAUGGAAGGGGGCGGAUAGGCUGAGACUGGGUCACCCAUGAAGAACGAGAGUCCCGCUUCGAACGGCCCCGAUGCACUCACCAGGAGGACGCGCAUGCUGUACAUUAUAUCUUGCCAAAUGAGGUGCGGAAGGAGUGGUUAUCGACAGAAGACGGAGCACGUGCGGCACGUUUAACAGAAUGCCCGGAGAUCAGUCCGAUGGUCUCUGGAGUGGAGAUGGCGACUAACUAUUUGCCGGUUGGGGGCCGAGUCUGCCUUUAUAUCCACGACAAUCACCUAGCUUUACAUAACCCGGGAAAGUGUACUUUGAGCAACUACUCCAGCUAGGACUUCCACCUCGGCAUCCUGCGCCCGGCUCUUCUGGUUCUGAAUCCUCGAGGCUUGGGGGGUACGCGUCCUUAGUUUCUACCCUGCCCUCUUCAAACGCCCCGGAAAGACAAUCUCACUGGACUUUUCGACUUCGCCGAGUCUCCUUUCAUCCACCUUACGCAAGCUCGAUCAUCGCUGGAAAAACAGGACGGGGUACCAGGCUUGACCUUCGCACUGUACAAUUUCGAUGGAUUCCAUUUUAAGAUCGUGUUAUACCUGGGCGAUUAUAGACUUCGUUAGAAGAGGAAAAUGGAAGCGUUGCUGAAUGAUUUUUUUAAACAACCAAGGUCCUUGAGACACAUCUGGGUCAAGCGGACACUGAAAAGGUCAAGUUUCAUGGUUCACGUCUCGGGAGACCAAUGCGCGUGAUUUAUUCAACGAAUCCCGUAUUAUUAUAUGUUAAUUAUAUAUAUAUAUAUAUAUAUGAACGCAUUCGUUCAACGCUUAUCCCCGUGGUGCAGUGGAAACUUUCAUUUAAUUCUGGCCAUGAAUAUGUGUCACGUAAUUUGUGUAAUUACGUCGACUUAAAUUAGCAUCGAUCCAUCGACUUUGAGAUUUUGCAAGCGAGCCGGCGCAUCUCGAACAUGCACUAACCGGUAGUUAAUGUCAAUCCAUACCCGAACAAGAAUAAGGGGACGAUUCGGUAUCGCGAUGAUCAAUCCGCCCGAGUGUCGACACGAAUACUAUACGAUUUUGUAAAAAAAUGUGGAAACUCUUUCAGAAUGGUGAGUUGCCGCUAAUCGUGUUUUGUCUCCAUCGAGCAUACGGAGAAAAAACAAACCUUGCCACAGUGCUUACCGUGAAGACGGGUCAAGCAGGCCAAAUAAGGGUCAAGUUGAUCAACAUCGUCGAGUCUCAGCGAUGUGACGGAUGAAUUCGAGGACACUUGUCACUUGAAAGACGUAUUAAAAAAAAUUAGCUUGUUGCAGCGACUCGACGCUUGACGUUACCGCUGUUCUUGGAUGAAUAUGAACACCGAGUCCUUUGUCGACUCAUAAAUCUUUGAACUCCAGGCUAUCUUGUAUCCCAAUCAUUGUCUUGGACCCAGUUGUCCAAACCUGAUUGACUCAGCACGCGAACACUUCCACCUUAAUAUUACCAGCUCACACGAUAUGCAGCGACUUAAUUAACACGAAUGCAACGUAAAUAUGUUGAAUAAUAAAGUUGAAUAGCACCGUGGUGUUGGUGAGUAAUGGAUUGAAAACAAACAUUCCAUGUUGGAAAUAAGUGACGACGAACAGGUCAAAGGCCAGGAGCAUCACGCCGCAGGAAUUCUGGAAUCAGUGGUAAUCGCGGGUGUCGCGAAAUCCGAUGACGUUUAAGAGCGACCGUGCAGAUUUAUGCCGAUUGCUUAUGCAGCUGCGACACGUUCCAAGCCGCAAUUUCUCCCGCUUGGCUGAACCAUCGAAAGGACGGAAAAGGCCGUUUCGAGCUCUGCACGAGCUGCAACGGCUGUUGCUGCUGCUCCGUUGGAACACCUGACAGAAAAACCACAGUUCAUCAUAUUCGAAGGAUCUAACAAAGCCCCUCAGACCCAGUGGUUAGCAAUGUAGAGAACUACACGUAUAUGUAUACUCAGUACUGUUUCGCCAAACAUGGACAUCGUCCCUAGAUAAUCGUCUAUUCGUUACAAGGACGAACGAGUAGAUCAGCUACACAGUCUCGCAUGGUUUAACAAAGCGAUGGUGUCAUCGUCUCACCGAUCAUCACUCAUUCGGGAUUUCAAAUUCGAUAAUCUGUAAUUUUUAUGAAAAAUUCCACCGCACCGUCACAUGUUUGAAAUUAUGACAGCAGGCUGCUGCCCGAAAGAUUUUUUUUUUUUCUUAAACUCUCCUAAGCAGGCGCUAAUUCAAACGACUUUAAUAGUUGGGUCAAAUUUAUUACGACACUCUUGGUGCCUGUGUUGACUUUGUCGCCGCGUCUGUAGCGGUAUGCCACAGGCUGCUAAUCAAAGCAACGACCAGUGUAUAUAAUUGCAGUUCGGGUCCAAAUUCGGACACUGGAAAGGACAAGUGGUGAAGAGAAAUUUUGUACACUUGCUGCCGAGAAGAAUAGGUGAAUAAAUUGAAUAAGAACAGAGAUAUAUUACACUUUGUCCCAAUUUUUUCACUUACUUGCGUAUGUAUUAUAUAUAUAUAUAUAUAUAUAUAUAUACACAUCUCGCUGCAGACCUUGUUUCGUUAUAGGUAGCGUAAUAAUAUUGUAAAAAUAUAAUGUCAAGUUAGUAAAAAGUCCUAGUUUGCAAAACGAACAGCUUAAAUUUAUUUCAAGGCAGCACCAUGUAUUGUCAUGAAGAUACAAGUAAUUUAAAUGAAUUUCUUUCGUGUUUACCAUGUGAAUUUUUACCAAUUUCAUAUAUAAAUGUCAAUAUCUUAAAAAAGGGUAUAUAUUAUAAAUGCAUAUAUGCAUGUCAAAAUGUUAUUUCUUAGUUAUUGAGCGUUGUAAACAUAUUUUUCAGGCCGAAUGUCACCCUGAUACAAGAUGAACCAGUAUAAUAAUCGGGUGAAAUUCCAUUGACCGAAACCCUGAAAGUACUCCGCAACAGAUAAAUUUUCCCUAUUCAACUCAAUAUCUAAUCUCAGGAAUUCCAUCUCUAGGAGUAUAAAAUGCCGAAGAUCAUCGGCAUCGUAUAAGUACCUCCAUGUGAAUAUUAUCUCGUAAGAAUUUCUAAUUAUUUAUUCUGGGGACCAAGAUCACGAUUCAUUGAUUGUGUCAUAACAAACCGCGGCGCGGGUCGUAAAGACGCGAAUGGAAAAAUAAAAAUAAGGAAAUAACACCCGAGCAUAAUCGCGUGACUACGUUUCUGCGCAAAUCUUCGCCAAACUUCGUUCAUCGAGGUGCGGAAGAGACGCGAAUUGUAAGACGUGUCCCGCAACGGACUGAAAAUCGUCGACGAUGCAUCGGGCGGAUUCCUCCGGGCGAGCCGACAACGAGGUCCAGGAUGCCGCGCACGACGACGAGCAUCUUUGCCCCGCGGCUCCGUUCGUGUCGGGCUUGUCUUGUCCGCCAAAAGUGAAAGUCCUCCUCUCCGUCGAUCGGUAAAGGUCGACUCAUCUUCACGAGUGGCCUCCGCGGCACAACAGGCGACAGCCAAACAGAAAACCACUGUGGGAAUACAAACACCAUCACGUUUUCCCUCUCGGUAGCAACCAGCGGUGCAGGCCAAGGGUUUCCCUCGAACCAACCUUUGCCGUCUACGCCACGAAUAACCGAGCCGCGGUAUUACGUUCAAAGGAGAACGGCUUGUGCUG